Long non-coding RNA from Pezoporus flaviventris, 2197 nucleotides. RefSeq lists it as uncharacterized. The record is from RefSeq and is a predicted model, not a curated record. The transcript is spliced from 2 exons. NCBI's taxonomy places the organism in Eukaryota, Metazoa, Chordata, Aves, Psittaciformes, Psittacidae.
CCCACCUUGCAAUCACCAAUAUUAAGCUUGCAAACUGGCCAGAUCCCAGUGGGUAUAAUUUUCAGGCUGGCUAACUCAGAGAGUUCGACUGAUGCCACUCAGGGGCUCGGAGCCAGCGGAGGGGAGGGGGCAGCGUGUGACACACGGGAAGGGGUCUGAGUCAGGGCUCCCGAGAGCAAGGAGACCUGCCUCCUCUCUCCUUCCUGCUUCUGGAAGCCACUCCUCGCAAGCCGGGUCCUCUGCUGACAGCCACCUACCCUGCAGUUAGGUCCUGUCCUUUCUCAGCUGAGACAGGAGGGACAGGUGGCCCGUGCCGGAAGCAGUGGCUGCGGCACAGGAGCAGGGGGCGAUCCUGGUCGAGAGCCCAGAGCUGCCGUGUGACAAACAGGAGGCCAGGUAUUAACAGGUGGGUGAGAAGACAGGGCCUGGCUGCCUGCUUGGGGAAGCGGCCGUUUUAAAACCAAGGCAGCAAGGAUCACAGGGAGAGCGUGCACGGUGGGGAGGGCAUAUUUCGAAGAGGAGGAGGAAGGAGCUGUUUUGGAAUUGGGUGUAAAGCCAUUUGUUUGGAGGGAUGCCAGGGUAACAGUAGGUGCCCAGAACAAACGCGCACAGCCAUUGCAGCACUCAGCGCCCGCAUGCUCGUCCUUCGCAGUACCUAAGUGCUCUGUCUCAUCCUACACUUGCUGGCUUGGUGUUAUGACAAAAAGGAAACACAGGUUCACAAAAGCAUUACAGGAAACAAAUAAUGCCUUUAAUCCUGGAAGUGUUUAGCCCAGCGGCAGCAAAGCUGAGACUUUCCUGACCUCCAUCAUAGUGCUCCAAAGAGGGUCAGGAUACAGCCUGCGCUGAUGGAGCCUGGAUUUGGAAUGCUUUGGAGAUGUGCGCUGGUGAGAUCUGUUCUACAUCUCUGAGGUCCAGCAUGGCAUGUAGCAUUUCUGUGCAUUCAACAGCCAUUAAAAGACUCAGUCCCCAAGGUUUGCAAGAAUGUGAGACUGAAGUUACUUCUUUAUGACUGUUCUUUCAAUGUUAAAAUGCUUUUAGAGGAGGAAAAAUGCAGCAAUAACAGGGAAUAACUGAACAUCAGGACAGGGAAAUGCCAAGUGCACUUUAUAGUUAAGCUGGGGCUGAUGGAGGACUUUCAGCUGAGCCUGGCUGCAGGCAUGCUGCAGGGUGGUGAGAUGGGCUCCUGAAGUGGCCUCACAGCUCUGGGACAGGCCUUCAUUGCUGGACAACCCCCUUGCCCUCCAUGGCCUUCCAACCCGGCCUUGCACCCUGCUGUGCCCUGCUGCCCGGCAGCCUGCCUGCUGCUCCUGCUGAGGGCAAGAAUCAGCACGGCUCUUCCCUGCCUCCCCCUAGACAUGUUUGUCUUAAAUACAACGUUUUUUCCCUUGGGCUGCCACAGAUUUUCCACCCCUUCAGCCAGCCAACGGCUGGCAAGUGACAUUCAUUAGCGGCCAUGAGGAAGGUCGUGUCUCCCAGUGCCUGGCCUUUCUGGUGAGGGAGGCAGGCAGCCGCUUUGCGUAAAAUGCCAAACAACCUUCCUUGUUUUCCUUGGUUGCCAGGGUAGGAAUCGACAUUGUCCCCAGCGGAGCACAAGGACUCCCCGUGACAUGGCGGGGACAAUGGGAAGGUAUGUUUUCUUGACCUGCUGCAGGAAAUCCUGUGCGUCUUGCCGGGGAACACAGCAUUUUCCUGCCCUGUCUGUGGCCGGGCUGCAGCUCCAGGGGCCCACAGCAGCCUGCUUGAAUGUGCAUGUUUUGAACCUCUCUUAAAUUUUAACAGAAUCAGCCCCGUUUGGUGCCCAGGCAGACUUGGGUGCUGUGAAGCUGAGGCUGGUGCACUGCAGCGGUACUGGGUGCUGGUAGGGAGGCAGCCUCAUCCCUCUGGGGUUGAGGGGAUGGGGCAUGCCAAAAACAGCGCUGAGCUUUGCUGCUAUUACCUGGUGCCAGUUGUAGGGGCGAUGCUGUCUCUCCUGCCUGGAGCUGAGCCGAUCGUUUCCACUCUGCAUUACUGCUGCUGUUGAUUAACUGGUUUUGAUUUUUUUAAGGAACAAUUCAGAAAGUGACGCAUUACUUCUGCCUGUGGACAGAGGGAACAGCUGAAACGUGGGAGUCCAGACUACAGCUGUGUGACUACAGCUUUAAAAAAAACCAACCAAAACCACAUAUUUUAGUGAAUAAAAACUACUGAUUCCCUC